This 1341-nucleotide long non-coding RNA is filed under the name Pongo abelii (Sumatran orangutan). RNAcentral's name for it is "lincRNA". Lineage: Eukaryota; Metazoa; Chordata; Mammalia; Primates; Hominidae. The record is from RNAcentral.
CUGAGGAAGGCAGGGCCAUGGGCUUGGAGGCGGGACACGCGUCAAUAGCAGGUGGCGGCGGGGCUAUGGAGCUCAAGGAUGGAGCAAAUGUCAACAGGCACAGAUGAUGGUGGGUUUAACUGACGCUGCUGCACUGGGUACCCCACCCCGGUGCCAGGCACAUAGGUGCAGCCUGAGAGUAAGCAGACCGGGUUGGAAGGUCCCGCGAUUCACCACCGACAGGCUGGGCGGCCUUGGCAACCUCCGACCCCUCGCAGGCCUGUUCCCUUAUCCAUGAGAUGGAGCUCGGACAACGUGGCCACAGGAAGGCUUUGCAAACUGUGAAGUACAGUGCCCACGUGGGCGUGCCAGUGGCCUCGCCGGAGCCGGUAGGGAACACUCUGCAGUCCAGGCCAGGGCCCCGGUGGGACACCCAGCUGUGCAUCCCGCCCGUGGCCGCAAGGCCCGCACCUUGGCCAGCAGGAGCAGUGUGCGGCUGGUGCGGGCGUCCGCGUGGCGCUCCCGCAGGUGGAAGAGCUUGGGCGACAUGAUGGCGGGAGAGAAGAAGCGCAGGCACAGGAAGCUGGUGACGGCGAUGAACGGUACAUUCUGGAGGGGUGCGGGAGAGUGCGGGCUGGAGUCCCCCAGACCUGGGCUCCUGGCAGCCCCCUCCCCUUAGGCUCCCUCCCUGACCCUUCCCGGGACACAGCCUCCCUGGUCCUCCCCAGCGUUCCCUGGUUCUCCCCAGCGCUCCCUGGUUCCCCACCGCUCUUCGCCCCUCGCCCCAGCCCAGUCCAACCCGGCCCAGCCUAGCCCGGCGGGUGGAGGGCGCACCUCGUGCUGGGCGCCGGGGAAGCGCUCGCGCACGCGCCGGAAGAGCUGGCGGAAGGUGGCGCGCACCACGGCGGGGCACGCGCGAACCGAGCGGCUGAGCGCGCUCAGCAGCGCCCCCAGGUGGGCGCGCAGCGUCUGCGCGCUUUGUUCCAGCACCUCGGCCUCGGUCUGCGGGCGGUGCAGCCCGGAGCACCUGCGUGGAAUGGGGCGGGUUGGCAGAGGGGGUCGCGGUCAGCGCCAGGGCCACGACAGGAACAGUGGCUCUCACAGUAGCCAGGACACGGACACAGGGGACAAUACACGGGUGGGCAGAGGCACAAACACACGUGCUGACAGGGCCUGAUCCCAACCUGCUGCCGCUGCGCCCCGCACCCCCCCGGAGUUACCCCCGGCCUCACCCUACAUCCUUAACUUCCACUUUGCUGGGGUCCAGCUCCACGUACUUCUUCUCCUCAAACACCUUGUUGAUGAUGGGGCCCAGGACGCCGUGCAGGUACUGCAUCCCGGCCACCUGGGGACCACCACAGG